This 497-nucleotide ribosomal RNA is filed under the name uncultured bacterium. RNAcentral describes it as "partial 16S ribosomal RNA". It matches the Rfam family "Bacterial small subunit ribosomal RNA", at positions 28 to 507 of the family's 1533-position model. The record is from RNAcentral.
GAUGAACGCUGGCGGCGUGCCUAAUACAUGCAAGUCGAGCGAACAGACGAGGAGCUUGCUCCUCUGACGUUAGCGGCGGACGGGUGAGUAACACGUGGAUAACCUACCUAUAAGACUGGGAUAACUUCGGGAAACCGGAGCUAAUACCGGAUAAUAUAUUGAACCGCAUGGUUCAAUAGUGAAAGACGGUUUUGCUGUCACUUAUAGAUGGAUCCGCGCCGCAUUAGCUAGUUGGUAAGGUAACGGCUUACCAAGGCAACCAUGCGUAGCCGACCUGAGAGGGUGAUCGGCCACACUGGAACUGAGACACGGUCCAGACUCCUACGGGAGGCAGCAGUAGGGAAUCUUCCGCAAUGGGCGAAAGCCUGACGGAGCAACGCCGCGUGAGUGAUGAAGGUCUUCGGAUCGUAAAACUCUGUUAUUAGGGAAGAACAAAUGUGUAAGUAACUGUGCACGUCUUGACGGUACCUAAUCAGAAAGCCACGGCUAACUACGUG